CAGGAAAUUCAGAAGAGUGAAUUCCAGUUUGAUACAUGGCAUCAAUAACUGACUGAACAUCAGUGUAUGGCAUCUGGAUAGGAAAUCCUGUGACCUGGAUCAAGGCCACGAACUUGUACCCUUUCUAGAUGGCAAACUACAAACAAGAAAGUUACUGGAUCCUGCCUCCACAUUUGAGUGUUUUAAGUGAGAUUUUCUUCAACAAUGUCUUGAUUUAUAUUUACUAAGUGACUAUGUGCUAGUAUUAAAGGAUUUUGGAGUAUG
Molecule: non-coding RNA, 264 nt
Organism: Heterocephalus glaber (naked mole-rat)
Lineage: Eukaryota; Metazoa; Chordata; Mammalia; Rodentia; Bathyergidae
Source: RefSeq, a predicted model, not a curated record